CCUCGCCCGAACGACCGGAUAACAGUGGGAAACCGCUGCUAAUACCGGAUACCCCCAUUGGAUCACAUGGUUCGAUGAGGAAAUGGAUUCCGCUUCGGGAGGGGCUCGCGGCCUAUCAGCUUGUUGGUGGGGUAACGGCCUACCAAGGCUUCGACGGGUAGCUGGUCUGAGAGGACGAUCAGCCACACUGGGACUGAGACACGGCCCAG
This 209-nucleotide ribosomal RNA is filed under the name uncultured bacterium. RNAcentral's name for it is "partial 16S ribosomal RNA". It matches the Rfam family "Bacterial small subunit ribosomal RNA", at positions 125 to 334 of the family's 1533-position model. The record is from RNAcentral.